AUUGAACGCUGGCGGCAGGCCUAACACAUGCAAGUCGAACGAGUGGCGGACGGGUGAGUAAUGUCUGGGAAACUGCCUGAUGGAGGGGGAUAACUACUGGAAACGGUAGCUAAUACCGCAUACCAUCGGAUGUGCCCAGAUGGGAUUAGCUAGUAGGUGGGGUAAAGGCUCACCUCGUGGACGAUCCCUAGCUGGUCUGAGAGGAUGACCAGCCAAACUGGAACUGAGACACGGUCCAGACUCCUACGUGAGGCAGCAGUGGGGAAUAUUGCACAAUGGGCGAAAGCCUGAUGCAGCCAUGCCGCGUGUAUGAAGAAGGCCUUCGGGUUGUAAAGUACUUUCAGCGGGGAGGCGUUACCCGCAGAAGAAGCACCGGCUAACUCCGUGCCAGCAGCCGCGGUAAUAC
RNAcentral lists this ribosomal RNA (406 nucleotides) under uncultured bacterium. Its description in RNAcentral is "partial 16S ribosomal RNA". It matches the Rfam family "Bacterial small subunit ribosomal RNA", at positions 30 to 526 of the family's 1533-position model. The record is from RNAcentral.